GAAGGGCCAGGUUCCCUGUUGGGGAGAGGGGCUUGCAUCUGGGAGUAUGUUUCCUGGCGGAGCGAUAUUUGUUUACAGGCUGAGGGCAGUACUGUAAGUGAGUAGCGCUUCGAGAAGGCGGCUCUGACAUAAAUUAAUAUUGAAAUUACUCCAUCAGCUCUGCUCGCCCCUCAUCUCACCCCCCAGGCGAAGACUGGUCUUCUUGUCGGAUUGCCCAUGCACUUGUUGCAGAAACAGCCAAGGCCCUGGCUCUGGAGGAUGCUGAAGGAGGAAGACACAGAAGCAGGACGACUCUGAGAGAUUAAGCCUCUUAAUCGUGAAACAGAACCAGGCCUCCUCUCCCCACCUGCCCAGCAGCAUGAGAGCAGCAUGACUGGCCGGCCACAGGAGAAGCCCCCAGAGCCAGGCCCCCAUCUCAACCAGCUGCUGCAGAAGUCAAGGUGUGAGCAGCAUCUCUUCACCACGGUGGCAUUUGGUCCGUCCCUUAGCCCGGGUGAGGAUGUAAAACCCCUCGCUCUGCACAUGCGUGGUAGAGGCCAACAGGAACACCUGGCUGCAGCCACGGUCACGGACAUGUCAGCCGUGGAGUAGUGUGGACACUUUCUCUCUGCUUCUCAGGGUUUCAGUCCUUUCGGGUUUGUGUCAUUGACCUUUUUGUAUGGUUUUGUGGCUGGACGU
This 678-nucleotide long non-coding RNA is filed under the name Capra hircus (goat). RNAcentral's name for it is "lncRNA (ENSCHIG00010029911.1)". Lineage: Eukaryota; Metazoa; Chordata; Mammalia; Artiodactyla; Bovidae. The record is from RNAcentral.